UAGUGGCGAACGGGUGAGUAACACGUGGGCAAUCUGCCCUGCACUCUGGGACAAGCCCUGGAAACGGGGUCUAAUACCGGAUAACACUGUCCCCCUCCUGGGGGACGGUUGAAAGCUCCGGCGGUGCAGGAUGAGCCCGCGGCCUAUCAGCUUGUUGGUGGGGUAAUGGCCUACCAAGGCGACGACGGGUAGCCGGCCUGAGAGGGCGACCGGCCACACUGGGACUGAGACACGGCCCAGACUCCUACGGGAGGCAGCAGUGGGGAAUAUUGCACAAUGGGCGAAAGCCUGAUGCAGCGACGCCGCGUGAGGGAUGACGGCCUUCGGGUUGUAAACCUCUUUCAGCAGGGAAGAAGCGAAAGUGACGGUACCUGCAGAAGAAGCGCCGGCUAACUACGUGCCAGCAGCCGCGGUAAUACGUAGGGCGCAAGCGUUGUCCGGANUUAUUGGGCGUAAAGAGCUCGUAGGCGGUCUGUCACGUCGGGUGUGAAAGCCCGGGGCUUAACCCCGGGUCUGCAUUCGAUACGGGCAGACUAGAGUGUGGUAGGGGNAGAUCGGAAUUCCU
Molecule: ribosomal RNA, 565 nt
Filed under: Streptomyces sp. 322B12
Lineage: Bacteria; Bacillati; Actinomycetota; Actinomycetes; Kitasatosporales; Streptomycetaceae
Description: bacterial SSU rRNA
Rfam family: Bacterial small subunit ribosomal RNA
Source: RNAcentral